This 99-nucleotide ribosomal RNA is filed under the name uncultured Bacillus sp. RNAcentral describes it as "partial 16S ribosomal RNA". The record is from RNAcentral. Lineage: Bacteria; Bacillati; Bacillota; Bacilli; Caryophanales; Bacillaceae.
GUCUGACGGAGCAACGCCGCGUGAGUGUAUGAAGGUUUUCGGAUCGUAAAGCUCUGUUGUUAGGGAAGAACAAGUACCGUUCGAAUAGGGCGGUACCUU